RNAcentral lists this unclassified non-coding RNA (409 nucleotides) under uncultured fungus. RNAcentral describes it as "partial contains small subunit ribosomal RNA, internal transcribed spacer 1, and 5.8S ribosomal RNA". The stretch from base 1 to 73 matches the Rfam family "Eukaryotic small subunit ribosomal RNA", at positions 1759 to 1831 of the family's 1831-position model. The record is from RNAcentral. Lineage: Eukaryota; Fungi.
GCAAACUUGGUCAUUUAGAGGAAGUAAAAGUCGUAACAAGGUUUCCGUAGGUGAACCUGCGGAAGGAUCAUUAUUGAAUAUGUUUCUAAAUGAGUUGUAGCUGGCUCUCUAGAGCAUGUGCACGCUUGUUUAGAUCUCAUUUUCAUCCACCUGUGCACCUAUUGUAGUCUUUGGCUGGGUAUUGAAGAAGUGAUCAGACUAUCAACAUUUUGUUGGAUAUAAGGAUUUGCAUUGCGAAAGCUUUGCUGUCCUUUAUUUGAUCAUAGAAGCAUUUUCUCACCAAAGCCUAUGUUUCAUUAUACUCUAUUGAAUGUCUUUGAAUGUCUUAAUGGGCUUUCGUGCCUAUGUACAUGAUAAUACAACUUUCAGCAACGGAUCUCUUGGCUCUCGCAUCGAUGAAGAACGCAGC